GUGGGGAAUUUUCCGCAAUGGGCGAAAGCCUGACGGAGUGACGCCGCGUGUGGGACGAAGGCCUUCGGGUCGUAAACCACUGUCAGUGGGAAAGAAGGGCAUCGGCGCGAUAAACGCCGGUGCUUGACGGUACCUGCAGAGGAAGCCCCGGCUAACUCUGUGCCAGCAGCCGCGGUAAGACAGAGGGGGCAAGCGUUGCUCGGAAUUACUGGGCGUAAAGGGCGCGUAGGCGGGACGGCAAGUCGGUCGUGAAAUCCCUCGGCUCAACUGAGGAACGUCGAUCGAUACUGCCGUUCUUGAGGGUUGCAGAGGAGACUGGAAUUCCCGGUGUAGCGGUGAAAUGUGUAGAGAUCGGGAGGAACACCGGUGGCGAAGGCGGGUCUCUGGGCAACUCCUGACGCUGAGGCGCGAAAGCGUGGGGAGCAAACGGGAUUAGAAACCCUGGUAGUCC
Molecule: ribosomal RNA, 451 nt
Filed under: uncultured bacterium
Lineage: Bacteria
Description: bacterial SSU rRNA
Rfam family: Bacterial small subunit ribosomal RNA
Source: RNAcentral